This 467-nucleotide ribosomal RNA is filed under the name uncultured bacterium. RNAcentral's name for it is "partial 16S ribosomal RNA". It matches the Rfam family "Bacterial small subunit ribosomal RNA", at positions 28 to 506 of the family's 1533-position model. The record is from RNAcentral.
GAUGAACGCUGGCGGCGUGCUUAACACAUGCAAGUCGAACGGAAAGGCCAGUGCUUGCACUGGUACUCGAGUGGCGAACGGGUGAGUAACACGUGGGUGAUCUGCCCUGCACUUCGGGAUAAGCCUGGGAAACUGGGUCUAAUACCAGAUAGGACAAUGGUUUGGAUGCCGUUGUGGAAAGUUUUUUCGGUGUGGGAUGAGCUCGCGGCCUAUCAGCUUGUUGGUGGGGUAAUGGCCUACCAAGGCGUCGACGGGUAGCCGGCCUGAGAGGGUGUACGGCCACAUUGGGACUGAGAUACGGCCCAGACUCCUACGGGAGGCAGCAGUGGGGAAUAUUGCACAAUGGGCGCAAGCCUGAUGCAGCGACGCCGCGUGGGGGAUGACGGCCUUCGGGUUGUAAACUCCUUUCGCUAGGGACGAAGCGUAUUUGUGACGGUACCUGGAGAAGAAGCACCGGCUAACUACGU